Molecule: long non-coding RNA, 406 nt
Organism: Trichechus manatus latirostris (Florida manatee)
Lineage: Eukaryota; Metazoa; Chordata; Mammalia; Sirenia; Trichechidae
Exons: 5
Source: RefSeq, a predicted model, not a curated record
GGAUUUCUUGAAUUCUUCUGAGACCAAAAGAAAACUAAAUCAAAGAAGAACUUUUACAUUGGUCCCAGGGGAGGUUUAAUAGGAUAAUGGAACUGAUCCUAUUGAUGGAGAAUGAGUGACCGCCAUUUUGUGACCCCUACCUUUAGACCCCAACUAGGUAUCCUCCCAGAGGCCUUUGGAGGAGCCUUCCUUUUUGACACUGAUUGGAGGAACCCAGACAUUGUGCUUGCUCAGAGGAUAACUCUUGAGUCCCUGCUAUCAUCUUCUUCACCAUAGACUUUGGACAAGCUCAGAAAGCAUAAUUUACAGCCUCCAGAAGUCUAGCCCAGUGUGACUGGAUGGCGUCCAGCUUUACCGGAAUCAGAGAGGAUACAACCAUUUAACCCAAGAUGAAGGGAAGACUGAG